AAAUUGAAGAGUUUGAUCAUGGCUCAGAUUGAACGCUGGCGGCAGGCCUAACACAUGCAAGUCGAGCGGUAGCACAGAGAGCUUGCUCUCGGGUGACGAGCGGCGGACGGGUGAGUAAUGUCUGGGAAACUGCCUGAUGGAGGGGGAUAACUACUGGAAACGGUAGCUAAUACCGCAUAACGUCGCAAGACCAAAGUGGGGGACCUUCGGGCCUCAUGCCAUCAGAUGUGCCCAGAUGGGAUUAGCUAGUAGGUGGGGUAACGGCUCACCUAGGCGACGAUCCCUAGCUGGUCUGAGAGGAUGACCAGCCACACUGGAACUGAGACACGGUCCAGACUCCUACGGGAGGCAGCAGUGGGGAAUAUUGCACAAUGGGCGCAAGCCUGAUGCAGCCAUGCCGCGUGUGUGAAGAAGGCCUUCGGGUUGUAAAGCACUUUCAGCGGGGAGGAAGGCGAUAAGGUUAAUAACCUUG
RNAcentral lists this ribosomal RNA (472 nucleotides) under Klebsiella pneumoniae. RNAcentral describes it as "bacterial SSU rRNA". It matches the Rfam family "Bacterial small subunit ribosomal RNA", at positions 1 to 471 of the family's 1533-position model. Lineage: Bacteria; Pseudomonadati; Pseudomonadota; Gammaproteobacteria; Enterobacterales; Enterobacteriaceae. The record is from RNAcentral. RNAcentral also lists the same sequence under 1 other name.